Molecule: long non-coding RNA, 467 nt
Organism: Gopherus flavomarginatus (Mexican gopher tortoise)
Lineage: Eukaryota; Metazoa; Chordata; Testudines; Testudinidae
Exons: 3
Source: RefSeq, a predicted model, not a curated record
UAGGAGAGAGGAAGAGGCUGUGUUGGUCGCGCUCUUAUGAAUGUUUCAUUGCCUAUUUCAGAUUGUGGAGAUGCUGAGGAUGAAGACUGACUCCGCACCCCCGUGAAAUGAUCGAGGCUGAAGUGGAAAAAUUAAGUACUGUAACUGAAUCUUGAAAAUGAUCUGUAAUGAAACAUCCUGGACCUGAGCCCCAAGGACAAUAGGGGGAAAGAACUCUGAAGACAAGAUUGACUGGUUUCGCUUCUCCCUCCUCACCCUGGAUCCUUUACAGGAAUCACAGAUGGAUGACUUGAGAUGAGCCUUAAAGGAAAGGAAAAUGUAUCUUUCUCUCCACCAGCAUCAACUGUAAGAGAGAAUUUGGGGCCUGAAGAUUAAAAGAUUUGCCCCAUCUCCGAUCUGCAUGACAAAGACUCUGAAGUUAUGUCCAGGAAAGGGUAUACUAAAAACAGGCUAGAUAAUAAAACUAG